This 459-nucleotide ribosomal RNA is filed under the name uncultured bacterium. RNAcentral describes it as "partial 16S ribosomal RNA". It matches the Rfam family "Bacterial small subunit ribosomal RNA", at positions 338 to 795 of the family's 1533-position model. The record is from RNAcentral.
CCUACGGGAGGCAGCAGUGAGGAAUAUUGGUCAAUGGCCGAGAGGCUGAACCAGCCAAGUCGCGUGAGGGAAGAAUGUCCUAUGGAUUGUAAACCUCUUUUGUCAGGGAGCAAAGUCACCCACGUGUGGGUGUUGGAGAGUACCUGAAGAAAAAGCAUCGGCUAACUCCGUGCCCGCAGCCGCGGUAAUACGGAGGAUGCGAGCGUUAUCCGGAUUGAUUGGGUUUAAUGGGUGCGUAGGCGGGUUAUCAAGUCAGCGGUAAAAUCGUGGAGAGCAACUCCAUCCAGCCGUGGAGCCUGAUGAUCUUGAGAGGGCGAGAAGUAGGCGGAAUGCGUGGUGUAGCGGUGAAAUGCAUAGAUAUCACGCAGAACUCCGAUUGCGAAGGCAGCAGACCGGCGCCCGACUGACGCUGAAGCACGAAAGCGUGGGUAUCGAACAGGAUUAGAUACCCGUGUAGUC